Bombyx mori (domestic silkworm) is the source of this 552-nucleotide long non-coding RNA. RefSeq lists it as uncharacterized. The transcript has 2 exons. NCBI's taxonomy places the organism in Eukaryota, Metazoa, Arthropoda, Insecta, Lepidoptera, Bombycidae. The record is from RefSeq and is a predicted model, not a curated record.
AGGAGAAAAUCGCCGGAUCCCCACCCGCGCGGCAGGUGGGGUAUGUGGGAGUUGAACCUCACUAAAAACUCCUGCCGCUCACAACCGGCGCCCUACCUCGGACCGGGCCGGAGCCCAGUCGGGGCUAUUGAGACGGCGGGACAGGGUUGACGUAGAGCAUAUUACAUCCAUCCCACCGUCCCACGGACGCCGGACCGGCGGCCGCCAGCGACACGACCACCGGUUCCCUCGUUCAGCGGGCCGAGAGCCCGCACCAUUUCAACCUAGGUGAUAUUUUCUCAAAUCUACGUUUUUAGCAGAACACAAAUUAAAACGAAGACUCAAAUAUUUAGAAUAAUUAUACGUAGCUAUGUCACUGACUCAAUAAAGAAAUACAUUCAAAGCGACACCCCAAAACAAAAACACGGUAGAGCGAACAUUUAAUCACGGACUAUUAAAAUUAUUUCGCUCAGAGCCGUAAAGAACGACAAUCAACUAAUGGAGGGAAUUGCAGCUAUAACGUUCUUAGGGUUAGCUGCAACUAGACCGAGAAUAAACAAAUAAAACCUUUAA